GGCCCUUGGGUUGUAAACUCCUUUUCUGUGGGAAGAGGAAGGACGGUACCACAGGAAUAAGUCACGGCUAACUACGUGCCAGCAGCCGCGGUAAUACGUAGGUGGCAAGCGUUAUCCGGAUUUACUGGGCGUAAAGCGCACGCAGGCGGCUGUCCAAGUCUGACGUGAAAGCUCCUGGCUUAACUGGGAGAGGUCGUUGGAAACUAGAUGGCUUGAGGCGAGGAGAGGGGUGUAGAAUUCCCGGUGUAGUGGUGGAAUGCGUAGAUAUCGGGAGGAAUACCAGUGGCGAAAGCGACACCCUGGCCUUUGCCUGACGCUCAGGUGCGAAAGCGUGGGUAGCGAACGGGAUUAGAUACCCCGGUAGUCCACGCCGUAAACGAUGAAUACUAGGUGUGGGACGUGUCAAAGCGUUCUGUGCCGAAGCCAACGCGAUAAGUAUUCCGCCUGGGGACUACGGCCGCAAGGCUAAAACUCAAAGGAAUUGACGG
Molecule: ribosomal RNA, 488 nt
Filed under: uncultured bacterium
Lineage: Bacteria
Description: bacterial SSU rRNA
Rfam family: Bacterial small subunit ribosomal RNA
Source: RNAcentral